GGUCCCGUGGUCCAGCGGCGACGACUCCUGGCCUACACCCAGGCAACGAAGGUUCGAUUCCUUCCGGGACUA
Molecule: transfer RNA, 72 nt
Filed under: Planctomycetaceae bacterium
Lineage: Bacteria; Pseudomonadati; Planctomycetota; Planctomycetia; Planctomycetales; Planctomycetaceae
Description: tRNA-Val
Rfam family: tRNA
About the family: Transfer RNA (tRNA) molecules are approximately 80 nucleotides in length. Their secondary structure includes four short double-helical elements and three loops (D, anti-codon, and T loops). Further hydrogen bonds mediate the characteristic L-shaped molecular structure. tRNAs have two regions of fundamental functional importance: the anti-codon, which is responsible for specific mRNA codon recognition, and the 3' end, to which the tRNAs corresponding amino acid is attached (by aminoacyl-tRNA synthetases). tRNAs cope with the degeneracy of the genetic code in two manners: having more than one tRNA (with a specific anti-codon) for a particular amino acid; and 'wobble' base-pairing, i.e. permitting non-standard base-pairing at the 3rd anti-codon position.
Source: RNAcentral